RNAcentral lists this transfer RNA (77 nucleotides) under compost metagenome. RNAcentral describes it as "tRNA-Lys". It matches the Rfam family "tRNA". From Rfam's summary of the family: Transfer RNA (tRNA) molecules are approximately 80 nucleotides in length. Their secondary structure includes four short double-helical elements and three loops (D, anti-codon, and T loops). The record is from RNAcentral.
GUGUCGCUAGCUAAAUUGGUAAAGCAUCAGACUUUUAAUCUGACGAUUUCCGAGUUCGAGUCUCGGGCGACACACCA